RNAcentral lists this ribosomal RNA (409 nucleotides) under uncultured bacterium. Its description in RNAcentral is "bacterial SSU rRNA". It matches the Rfam family "Bacterial small subunit ribosomal RNA", at positions 29 to 416 of the family's 1533-position model. The record is from RNAcentral.
AAUGAACGCUGGCGGCGUGGUUAAGACAUGCAAGUCGAACGGUUUUUUCAGUGUAGCAAUACAUUGAAAAAGCAGUGGCGAACGGGUGCGUAACACGUGAACAAUCUACCUUCAAAUGGGGAAUAGCUCGGCGAAAGCCGGAUUAAUACCGCAUGUGGUCGGGACUCUCCUGAGUCCCAAACUAAAGUCAGGGACCGCAAGGCCUGACGUUUGAAGAGGAGUUCGCGGCCUAUCAGCAGUUGGCGAGGUAACGGCUCACCAAGGCUAAGACGGGUAGCUGGUCUGAGAGGAUGGCCAGCCACAUUGGGACUGAGAGACGGGCCCAGACUCCUACGGGAGGCAGCAGUGGGGAAUCUUGCGCAAUGGCCGAAAGGCUGACGCAGCGACGCCGCGUGGGGGGAGGAAGGCC